RNAcentral lists this ribosomal RNA (492 nucleotides) under uncultured bacterium. Its description in RNAcentral is "partial 16S ribosomal RNA". It matches the Rfam family "Bacterial small subunit ribosomal RNA", at positions 30 to 507 of the family's 1533-position model. The record is from RNAcentral.
CGAACGCUGGCGGCGUGCUUAACACAUGCAAGUCGAACGGUGAAGCGCCUUCCUUUUUGGUGGGUGUGGAUGAGUGGCGAACGGGUGAGUAACACGUGAGUAACCUGCCCCCUUCUUCUGGAUAACCGCAUGAAAGUGUGGCUAAUACGGGAUAUUCUGGGUCUGUCGCAUGAUGGGUCUGGGAAAGAUAUUGUUUCGGUGGGGGAUGGGCUCGCGGCCUAUCAGCUUGUUGGUGGGGUGAUGGCCUACCAAGGCGGUGACGGGUAGCCGGCCUGAGAGGGUGGACGGUCACACUGGGACGGAGACACGGCCCAGACUCCUACGGGAGGCAGCAGUGGGGAAUAUUGCACAAUGGGCGCAAGCCUGAUGCAGCGACGCCGCGUGAGGGAUGGAGGCCUUCGGGUUGUGAACCUCUUUCGCCAGUGAAGCAGGCCUGCCUCGUUUGUGGGUGGGUUGACGGUAGCUGGAGAAGAAGCGCCGGCUAACUACGUG